This 740-nucleotide ribosomal RNA is filed under the name uncultured bacterium. Its description in RNAcentral is "bacterial SSU rRNA". It matches the Rfam family "Bacterial small subunit ribosomal RNA", at positions 33 to 773 of the family's 1533-position model. The record is from RNAcentral.
ACGCUAGCGGGAGGCCUAACACAUGCAAGCCGAGCGGUAUUUGUUCUUCGGAACAGAGAGAGCGGCGUACGGGUGCGGAACACGUGUGCAACCUGCCUUUAUCUGGGGGAUAGCCUUUCGAAAGGAAGAUUAAUACCCCAUAAUAUAUUUUACGGCAUCGUGGAAUAUUGAAAACUCCGGUGGAUAGAGAUGGGCACGCGCAAGAUUAGAUAGUUGGUGAGGUAACGGCUCACCAAGUCAGUGAUCUUUAGGGGGCCUGAGAGGGUGAUCCCCCACACUGGUACUGAGACACGGACCAGACUCCUACGGGAGGCAGCAGUGAGGAAUAUUGGACAAUGGGUGCAAGCCUGAUCCAGCCAUCCCGCGUGAAGGACUAAGGCCCUAUGGGUUGUAAACUUCUUUUAUACUGGGAUAAGCCUACUUACGUGUAAGUAGCUGAAGGUACAGUAUGAAUAAGCACCGGCUAACUCCGUGCCAGCAGCCGCGGUAAUACGGAGGGUGCAAGCGUUAUCCGGAUUUAUUGGGUUUAAAGGGUCCGUAGGCGGAUCUGUAAGUCAGUGGUGAAAUCUCAUAGCUUAACUGUGAAACUGCCAUUGAUACUGCAGGUCUUGAGUGAGAUUGAGGUAGCUGGAAUAAGUAGUGUAGCGGUGAAAUGCAUAGAUAUUACUUAGAACACCAAUUGCGAAGGCAGGUUACCAAGUCUUAACUGACGCUGAGGGACGAAAGCGUGGGGAGCGAAC